AAAUCGGCAACUCCGGAGCAAGUGGAGUGAACAAACACCUUCCGCUGAGCUGAUAGCCUACUAGGAGGAAUGUCAACCUGUCAAUCGGGACCUGCGGGCAUGAAACGCAACGUCCCCAAGCAUAAGGGACGUCAUAUGUUGAGUAUUCCCUUAUGUUUUAUUCUUGUUAUCUCAUGACAUGUUUUUUGACUCAUUUACUCAUGAUAGUAUGAUAAGAAAGAUAUGUUACAUUGGUACUCGGUUGAGUAAGGCACCGGGUGCCCGUCGUGGCCCCUUCGGUUUGGGUUGUGACAAAAGUGAACAUUUUUGUAAACAAAUCCAAAGCACCACUUUCCUAUGGAGUGUAUACAAUAUUGUAGUGAGACUUUUGUUACAAGAUCAUUUACUCUUUAGCUCACUAUGCUUAAGUGGAAACCUUCUACCUUAUUUUCUCAGCUAGUCUUUCGUUGUAGUACUUAGGGAGACCUUCUGGCUCUUGUAAAGUUACGAGCUUGUUAUAUUGUACACCCGAAGGAAAUUUUCAUUGUUUUUACUCGCCUAUAAUAAUCCUUAGUUACGUAACUUCGUGCCCUUGUGCUCGUAGGGUUACUUCUAAGCUCAAAUUUUGAUUGUCUCCUUAGUGGCACUCUCUCUUAUUUUCAUAAAACUUAAACGAUACCUUUAACUGCCUCAACUCCUAUUUGAAUAUUUUUAUAGAUGAUUGCGAUCUCGUAUCUGCGAGACUGAAUUCCCUAUGCUGCGGUUUACUACAUUUAUCUUGCAUGAUCUAUUGAUUUAUCUGUGACCUCUUGUCUAGCCAUAACUAGGCUCUUCCCGAAUCAACUACUAACUACUCGUUGGUCUAUUCUCAUAUCUAUAUUCUGCAUAAUCUCUCUUGGGUUAUUUUCUUUGUCUUAACUUAUCACUCGUACUGGCUCCUUAUAUAUCAAGUGUUCAUUCACACUUAUUUAUCAAUAACAUCUGGUGUGGGAACCCUUACUACCUCUCCCCGGCGGUGUGCUUGCAUAAUGUUCUAGAGUUGUAACAUAUCUGUAGGGUCUGAAUAAAUGCAAUCUCAUUUCUUUCGUCUUUCUACCACAUUCUUCCUUUAUUAUUCCAUAGUUACCUGAACCAGUAACUCCGACUUACUACCAUAUCAUACCAUAUUCCCCCCUUUAGGGGAGUACUAAAAUUUAGUACUACGAUGAUCUACCUAUAGAUGUUUUACCUCUUCAUCUUUGGCGUCUUUUCACAUCAUCAAUGAACCUUAAUCGCCUUAUGGUAACCUUCUGUACCAGGGAUAACUAAAUUUCUUACGCACGAAGGUGACACUCAGUGUAACUGGCACACUUAGUCCCUUAAGAUUAACUCUGCUCAGAGUGCUUUCUUUAGGUAAGUGACUUCCUAAUGACCUUUAAAGGGUAUUCAUUUGUUGUAUAUUCUAUUAUUGUUGGAACACGAUCUCUGAAAUUCUCAUGAUGUCGACCAUUAUCAAAUCCUCCGGUCCCUAAUUCAUGUUCGGUUUUAUCUUGUUUACUAGACCAUACUAAUUUUUGUUACUACAAGGGGUCUAACUUAGCCUUUUGGUAAUCGCGUUGGACUCACCAACUCAUUUCUCGAAAUGAGUAUAUGACCUUUGGCCUAUACUCUAUUAUUGUCUCAAGGCCUGUCACCUCUUGUCUUUUCCUUCACUUGACUAUAGACUCUAUCAUCGUGUCAUAUUUUGAUUUACCGUUAUCACCCAUUUAUCACAUCUUACUCAUAAUACUUUGUUUACUCUCUCCUUAUUCUCCUGCUAAUAUUUCUGUUUAUCACCUUAUUUUGAAAGCUUCAACAAAACAUUCUUUCGCUUUUAGCUCCAUUUGCUCCAUCCACUGGCUCUUCAGGUCGCCUAGCAUUCUCUCUUUACUAGGAACGGGAGCCAUACGAAGGUAAAUAUCUAUCCCUUCUAGGGUUCCAGUGCCAAUCUUUGAAAUUUUUCUAGACAUUCUAGUAUUCAUAUCUAAAUGUACUAUUCUAGAUUGCACCAUCGGGGUGUCUCACAAGGAGAACUAUUACCACAUUUGCAAUAUCCUUCGGAAAUGUUAGCUAAUGAUAAUAAUCCAUCUACCAUUUUGGGUUACUCUAGCCCCAAUUGGAUCUUGCUAUCCUCUUCUUCUCUUAAACUAUAUCUAUCAACUCCCAUAGGGCAUACUGAGAUGGGCGUGGCCAAUUGUACAUACCUCUGUUACUGUUGAAAGUAACUCAAAAUACAUGUAUUUCUCUGCCUGAAUUGUAAAAACUCAAAACCUUCACUAACUGGUACCUCGUAACCUUUACCACAUUUUCUUUUACUUGUUAAAACUUGUAUCUACCUUCUGAUUCUCUUUUUGCUUUUUAAACCAUAUGGGUGGAUAGAUAUUCAUCCCUUUGGCCUCAAGAAACUUCCGCGUCUUAGAUACAUAUAAUCUACUGAAGACCUUACAUUUAAUCAUCAUAAACAUGAUGCAAAAUCGAGUUUCAUUGACUCAACUCUUCCAUAUCAACAUUUAAUCUCUUACCAACUAUCUGUUUGGAUGAGGUAUCAUUGUGUUACGAAUAAAAUAGAAUUUAGAAGUUUAAAUUCUUACAAUUGAGCUCUACCGCACGAUUUAGAGUAAGAAGAAAGAGUGACAGUCCUAAAUUUUUUGCAGCCUCCUGCUUAUGUGUGAUGCACUAUACACCCAUAAACAAGACUCUACUAGACACGUCUUGUAAACUCUCUAGGACAGAACUGCUUUGUAAAUCAUCAAGUAUUUAUAAUGUCAUGCAUAUGCAUAUAAAUGUCAUGUAAUGCAUAGGUCUGUACGUACAUAAUAUCAUCAAGCUUCUGAAGGCAUCCCAUUAUAUCAUCUCGGGCAUUGUGGGCAAAUUAUCAACGUAUACCAACUGAUCAGGUGGUGGUGUGUAUAUAACGCCAUCUGAUCAUGGGUCAAUAUACAUGAAUGCAAUGCAUGAGAAGUACGUCAAUCAAAUCUCUUGGAGUGUCAUAAGACCAUUAUGCCUUUGAAUAAUAUCAUGAAGUAAACCUUUUCAACUUACGUAUUUAUCUAAGACCCAUGAACAAAUGAUAAAUUAAUAUGACACAUGGAGAAUCAAGAACAUAAGCAUCUCUAACGUGUACAGAGGAUACCGACCUUAUGUCACUCUGAAAUGUUGAUGUUACAUCCCAUGUUUUCGUACGUGAGAGUACAUCGUAAUCCAAUUGAUGUAAGCUCGGAAAUGAGAUCGUUUUUUAACGUACAUAACGUACGUUCAUCAUGUUAUCUUGGAGGUUACAAAUCUUUAAGAUCAUGAAUAACAAGUACCAAAAGGGUUGGAAAGCUUAGACGCUAAACGAAUUGAAGAAAAUAAGUUUCGUCGAAAGUCGACAAGUUUGGAAUGUUAUAACAUAUACUUUUGAGGUGAGAAUAGGGUGAUUAACAUAAUGAGGAGGUNNNNNNNNNNNNNNGUUGGCAAAGGUCAUCACAAGUUGCAUUCGUAAUGUGCUGAAAUUUAGGUCAAAUGUAGCUGCAUUUUUCUCCCAAUUACUUGGAAUCAAGGGAGGAUCUAUAUAUCAAAUUGAAGAUCUACGAGUCUAGUUUCUAACGCAUUAAACCGUUUGUCGAUACGACAUUGGACUAGAGAGAUAUUUGCAUUUUCGCGAGAUUACGCCAAGCAGCUCUCUAUGGGGCCCACAUAGGCGGUUUAAGACAUAUGGAUAUAUAUAAGAUGCCUCAACCCCGUUUUAAGUCAUUAUUUUCAGUAUAUUCAGACCUUAGAACCCUAGAAACACUCUCUCAAGGUUCUCUCAUGAUCCAAGACCCAAACAAAGGGCAAACAACACAAAUCAAGUGUCGGGAAUCCCGUGGCGCUAGUAAGUUUCUUGUUCUUCUUGUUGUUGCUGAUUUUUGGGUGGUUCUAGCUCGUGUGGGAGGUUCUUUUAAGUGGUUUAUGUUCUGUAAAAUACUCCCCCAUGGUUUUCAUAUCAACCCUAGGUUAUUUAAAGUCUUGAAAUAUGGUGUAAUCCAUUUGCAAGACUUGAAAUAACCUAGGGUUGAUAUAAAAAUCAUGGGAGAGUAUUUUACAGAACAUAAACCACUUAAAACAACCUCCCACACGAGCUGGAACCAUCCAAAAAUCAGCAACAAGAAGAAGAACAAGAAACUUACUAGCGCCACGGGAUUCCCGACACUUGAUUUGUGUUGUUUGCCCUUUGUUUGGGUUUGGAUCAUGAGAGAACCUUGAGAGAGUGUUUCUAGGAUUCUAAGGUCUAAAUAUACUGAAAAUAAUGACUUAAAACGGGGUUAAGGCAUCUUACAUAUAUUCCAUGUGUCUUAAAACGCCUAUGUGGGCCCCAUAAAGAGCUGCUUGGCGCAGUCACAGAGGCGUAUGUUUUUAAAAUUUUAUGUGUAUAUAUGUAUUAUGUAUUUCAUGUCAGUAGCCCCUAGAGGCACUCAGAUGUUACAUGUUGUAUCUCCUUAAUCUCUCAUUUACGUUGUAGUUCUUGUUUAUGCUUUCCUGCCUUACAUAUUCGGUACUUUAUUCGUACUGACGUCCCUUUUGCCUGGGAACGCUGUGUUUCAUGCCCGCAGGUCCCGAUAGACAGGUUGACAUUCCUCCUAGUAGGCUAUCAGCUCAGCGGAAGGUGUUGCACUCCACUUGCUCCAAAGUUGCCUAUUUGGUCAGUAUGCUUUGGAUAUGUAUUGAUUGGUAUGGUGUUGCCCUGGCCCGACCUUUAUGAUUUUAUGUACUCUUAGAUGCUUGUAGACAGACGUCAGGUGUAUGGAUACUUGUAUGGCCUUGUCGGCCUAUGUUUUGAGUUUACAAAUGGUUAUGUUUUCCUUAUAGGCCCGUAUGUCACAUGUAUAAGUUUGUAUAUCAUGAUGGAUUGUCAUAUGUUGAGUAUGCCCUUAUGUUUUAUUCUUUGUUAUCUCAUGACGUAUUUUCUGGCUCAUUUACCCAUGAUAGUAUGAUAAUAAAGAUAUGUUAUGUUGGUACUCGGUUGAGUAAGGCACCGGGUGCCCGUCGCGGCCCCUUCGAUUUGGGUCGUGACAAAAGUGGACAACACACCAUAUAACGACAACAAGUCACAACUACUUCACGACGAGCGGCAAACUUCGAUUGGAAUCCGUCCAUAUCACCCUUUAUAGACUUCUUAUAUUAGCUUAAGAGCAUCAUUAACAUGAUAAUGAAUUAGUUCAUUAAUGAUUCCACCCUUAUACCAUAUAUUUAUAACAAAGGAAACAAUCGACAACUCCAACUAUCUUCAAUUAGAAACUUUAUUCACUAGUUCAUGUCUAGUUCAACCAUUUAAGUUUUUCGACAUGGCUGCUUAAGGUCAUUAACUUUUAUUCGAGGGCAUUUUCGUCAUUUAAGAUAUCUCCUUAUAUACGUGUCGCAAAAUAUUUCCGCAAACCCUACGUGUAUUUGAUUUCAUUAUAGCUGUCUGACAACUUCACUUUUUCCAAUACCUUUACGUGUAUUUGAUAUCAUUACAGCUGUUUGACAAAUUAACUUUUUCCUAUAUUUUUUUUGUACUUACAAUUCAAAGAGUACACCUUUUGUUUCCACCGUCUUCUUCCUGUUUUUGUUCUUGCUCUCCACAUCUGUUUGUGUUCUUGCUGCAAGUAUGUUUCUUCUUCAAUUAAUUCUGCACAUAUCUUCUUCUUUUUCCUUAAUUCUUUUUUUUUGGGUUUUCUCCAUCCUUUUUAGUUUUGCUAUCCAAUGACUGUAGAAUCCAUUCAUCUUCAACCUCAAACUUCAUGUUUUGUAUCUCGCUUUAUCUCCCCCCCCCACUAGAAGCUUCAGCCACUUGGAACGAUUUCCCAUUGUUGAUCUUCUUUUUUCUAAAGCCUAAAUGCUUCUCUAUCUCAGUCCGAUACUGACACUGAUCUGGUUGAUAAGCCUAAUUAAGAAGAAGAAAAUUUUGGGUAAAACGUCACAUUGCUUAGUUUGGAGUUCUUUAUCUUCUUUAGUUCUGUUCCAAUGUUCCUUUCUUCAAUUUCAUCGCCCCUCUUCUGCUCUUUCAUGGCUCUCUCACGGUAAACUAUUACUGAUUUUGUUUAUCUGUAAUGCUAAGUUAGAUGGUGAAAAAUAGAUAGUAUUAAACUGGAAACAGUUGUGUCGAAGAAUCUUGUAGCAUUAUACUUGGGUACUAUAAGCUGGGUGGAUCCAUGACAUUUAGUGCCGUAAAAUUAUCUCCAUGUAGUAGUUCUUGUAAAGAUCUGCUUGCAAUCUGAACAGGCUAAGAAGCAGAACUGCUAGUUCUCAUUUGGUAGUGCGAGUUCAGCUUCUAGCAAUUAAAAAUUCAGAGGAAUACAUAUAAAUUUUAUUGUUCUUACAUAUAAAUUUUUAUUGUUCUUACCGGAGGUUGCUUCUGGAUAUUGCCAAUUGGUAUGAUCUCUUCCUGGAAAAGGAACACUCAUAAGAGAGCCUAUUGGAGUUGUACUCCUUGCCGUGUAUACUGCUCAUGAGUUGUGUUCAUUAACAGUAUCUUGUAUACUGCUCAUGAGUUGUAUUCAUUGUUAAUCCUGUCGCGUAAAGAUAGAAAGUAUAUGUUGUUACUUUGAUGGUAAUAAUUUUAUAUAUGUAUUUAUAAUUGUAUACCAUCAAAAAGUGAUAUUCUAAUUGUCUAACAUGUUUCAGAUAGAAGCAAUGAGUCUCUCAUGACAGGAGUACUCAGUUCGCUUAAGACAUUAGCCGCCUCCGAGGAUGAUGCAUUAGCGGAGUUGGUAAUAAUUGAGCUGGCAACAAGAUGAUGUCUGUUUGAUUCAGCUUUGUUUUCUCCUACUCGCGCUAAGAGAACCCUUUUAUUAGCUUGCAUCUUUCUAUAUAGGCAGAAUACAUAGUUUACCCCCAGAACUAUGGACCAAAUCCCUGUGACACACCUUUUGGGAACAAAAAUUACCUUACACACUCAACAUUUCCAAAGUGUAUCUAAUACACACUACUUUUACACUCGUGAUUUACACGCACAAGAGGCGAGUGAAGAGUUAACAUGUUGUAUCUAAAUCGUCAUCUGGAAACUAUUUGUGCAGGUUUUUCAUUUUUCAUUUUUUUAUUUUCUAAAAAGAUUUCAUCAAUUCUUUUCCAGGUACCAGAUUUUCCCCCCAAGAUCUAAAGGGGAACGAGAAAAUACAAAGAACUAGAGUUUCCAUAUUUGAACACCAAUAUAUUUUGGUUAUGACUCGCGAUUCAAAUCUCCAAAUUGACAAUUGUUUUUGAGAUUGGGUGUUUUUCAGAUUUAGAUUUUGAUUAGCUUCUUGAAAUAAUAAGGAAGGUGAUUUAAUCCCAGAAUGAUUGCUCUUUUUCCAGUUUUGAUAAACUAGAUACAGAAUAAUCCCAAUCGGGUUUUAUUUUUUUCUCUCUAACAACUUUGAUAUGCAGUCCUUUUUCCGAAGUCUUAUUUAUAUAUGGCAAUGACGAAGACCUUGUCUAUGAUCUCAUGAACUGGAAGAGACAUCACCAGUUUUCAAAAUUAUAGCACAGACAAAUCUGAGUUUUAUAAUUAAAUGGGUGGAAUGUUGAACACGACAAAAAAUUAGAGAGUAAUAGUGAAUUUAAACUGUCGGGGUAUUGAAUGGGGCAAAGAAAAUGAAGAUUAGCGGGGAAUUUAUGCGGUUGGGGUGGUGGGUCUUAAAUGUGGUAGGAUGAGGUAGUGGUAUUUUUUUUCUUUUUGCAUCAGUGUUUCGCUUUGGAGAGUUAGCAGUCAUGGUGGUAUAGCUUGGGGAAGAUGAAGAAGAUGGAAGAAUAUUUUGGCAAUUAGGAUAUAAUUAUAAUUUCAAGUAUUUUUUAUUUUUUACAAAAGGUUAAUCACACGUGCCACAUUAUUAUUAGUGUGUGAUUACACUUGCUGAGAAAAAAGUGGCCAAACACUAAAGAAGUGUGUCUUAGACACACUCGGAAAAGGUUGAGUAUGUAAGGUAAUUUUUGUUCCCAAAAGGUGUGUCACAGGGAUUUGGUCCAUAGUUCCGGGGGUAAACUAUGUAUUCCGCCUUCUAUAUAAUUUGCGCCGCCUAGCAUUUUUGACAGCAUGUACUUUUUCAAAGUUUUGACUGGUUUUAUGAUUUUUAUUCUAUAUUAUACCAUAAAAUUAAAGAACCCAAAUAAAUAAUAUCUAUACAUAAUAAUGAAAAUCAGAAAAUGAAAUAGCCUCACUACUUUCUCAAGGUAAGGUAAAGGAUAAGGUCUGUAUACAUACUAUCCUCCUUAGACGGCACAUGUGGGGUUAACUUAGGUUUGUUGUUAAUCAAAGUCAGAAAAUAUUAAUUGAUUAGAAGAGAAGUACUUACCACACCCUAAAAUGCUUCACAAAUAAUAGACAAUUUCACAGUGGAAAGCAAAAGCUGCAGUAAUAAUGAAAAUAAAACACAAUAAAACAACAAAGUAUAAGACAACUCCAAUCAAAAUGGAAAAAAAUGAAAAUUCACACCAAUUUAAACGCUUGUGGCAGUGACGCAUGCGACGACUAAAUAACUAUCAACUUGAUCAUUGUUAUCUUUAUGCUGAAAAAGAUGAAACAAUUGUUUCUUUAGCAUUUGAAAAAAAAAACUUUUUUUUUUCUUCUGAAAUUCAAAUCUUUAGCAAGAAGCCUAAAGCAAAUGAAAUUACUACCAUAACAUUCUCCAAUUUAGCACACAACAGCCAUAAAAUUACAAAAUCACAAAGUAUUAAGAAACAAAGAAAGCCAGCAAAAUCAGGGAGUAUGAAAGAACCCAAAAGACUACGAAAAAGGCAAAAAUGAUUAGGAGAAAACAGAAUAAUAUUUGGGGAAAAAAUCCGGAGAACAACAGUGGAAGGGAAUUGAAGAAGAUGAAGUGAACAACUCCAAAACUUUAUUAAGAGCUAUGAAGCAAUACCCACUUUUUUCUUCUUCUUAAUUAAGCUUAACACCUAGAUCAUUAUCACAAUCGGGCUGAGAUAGAGAAGCAUUUAGGCCUUGGAAAAGAGCAAAUCAGCAAUGGAAAAUUAUUGCAUGCGGCUGAAGCUUAUCGAAAAUGGAUAAUAGCAGAGGCAAAGAGAGAUUCUACAGCCAUUGAAUAGCGAAAUUAAGAAGGAAGUAGAGAACUCGAAAGAAAAAAUACCUAUAGCUUGAGCAGAGACACCCUUGAGAGAGAGAACGCAAAUAGGAAGAAUACCAGUAGAAAUUAAAAGAUCGCUCUCUGAAACAUACUGAGAAACAAAGGACAAGGGUAAUAUCUCAUCCUUAGAUGACACCUGUAUACCUGCAGAGAGCACAAAAGCACACGAAUAGAGCUGAUGAGAAAUGAUUGAAAUGCCCUCAAGCUUUUAAAAAGACACUAAGUGGACAUAUCGAAAAUCUUUUUCUUCUAAUAUAUAGAAAAAUAUGAACCCUUUUAUUUAAGCCAUAACUUUACGAAUAUCAUGUUUUAACAAAUUCUUUAUCAAUUUCAUGCCUACGUACUGUAUGGGUCCAAAUUUGACCGACCACGACCGAUGACGAGUACGACGAUUGAUGGGGUAUUCUCGAAUUGACGCCCUGAGGGAGACGACUCUGAGACAAACCA
RNAcentral lists this long non-coding RNA (9506 nucleotides) under Nicotiana tabacum (common tobacco). Its description in RNAcentral is "long non-coding RNA (NTAB_LNC009628)". Lineage: Eukaryota; Viridiplantae; Streptophyta; Magnoliopsida; Solanales; Solanaceae. The record is from RNAcentral.